Molecule: ribosomal RNA, 759 nt
Filed under: Triticum aestivum (bread wheat)
Lineage: Eukaryota; Viridiplantae; Streptophyta; Magnoliopsida; Poales; Poaceae
Description: partial small subunit ribosomal RNA
Source: RNAcentral
AUGCUAAGAAGUGCCGUAUUCCAGAAGACUUCUCCUCGAUCUCUGGGCUGGAAUAUGGGGUGUUCCGGUUUUUCUGAGUCGGGGUGCCACAAUCAACCAAGCCGCCUUCUCAUGGGGGUGAAACUGCGAAGGUCCCCCCUGCAUGAAGCUGGCGAGCCUUCACAACUUCAGGGAGUAUUUUCGAGGGGAUGGACCCUGGGCAGGCAACGGAACCCGGAUCCUUUCAAAAACAUCAGGGCUGGCAACGCCCCUCAAUCCGGCUCGCCCCUGGCUGGCUUCCCAAUGCAACUCGGCCAGGUGCCGCAACCAGGCCAAGCCGGCUGGCGCAUGUCGGCCGGUUCCCACAAGACAAACCUCCGUCGAGAAACAAGCAUGGCUACAGUGCGCCCCCCUUUACGCCGACCCCGGUGUGCUCGGCUGUCGUGCCAACCAAGCCGCCCGCCUCCUCGAAGGUGCUACCCUGUAGCAAUCCGGCGCAGUCGUCGCAUGACGUCUGGCCGUACUCGUAGCAACCCUACAGUACUCGCCAGCCGGCCAUACCCACGCCCGAUGGACCCGGUACAGCCUGCACCCUACGGACCCGGCGAGACCCGCAUCCGGCGGACCCGACAGACCCGGUGCCCCAGUGGCCCCCACUGCCGGCUCCCACACACUAACAUCCCGGCCCCGUGGCCAUGUAACUUUACCAUUGUAACCCCGGGGGGCCAACCUAUAAGACCCCCCGGUGCUCCUCCAUGCAGAGGGUCGAUCGAUCACUAG